UACGGAGGUGGCGAGCGUUGCUCGGAUUCACUGGGUGUAAAGGGCAAGUAGGCGGCCGCGUAAGUCGGGUGUGAAAUUCCACGGCUCAACCGUGGAACUGCGCCCGAAACUGCGUGGCUUGAGGACAGCAGAGGCGAAUGGAAUUCCCGGUGUAAGGGUGAAAUCUGUAGAGAUCGGGAGGAAUACCAGUGGCGUAGGCGAUUCGCUGGGCUGUCCCUGACGCUGAGAGGCGAAAGCUAGGGGAGCAAACAGGAUUAGAUACCC
This 264-nucleotide ribosomal RNA is filed under the name uncultured bacterium. RNAcentral's name for it is "partial 16S ribosomal RNA". It matches the Rfam family "Bacterial small subunit ribosomal RNA", at positions 524 to 787 of the family's 1533-position model. The record is from RNAcentral.